Molecule: long non-coding RNA, 351 nt
Organism: Oreochromis aureus
Lineage: Eukaryota; Metazoa; Chordata; Actinopteri; Cichliformes; Cichlidae
Exons: 3
Source: RefSeq, a predicted model, not a curated record
GCCAGAGCUGUCAGAGCGAACCGAGGAGCUGUGAACGCUGGAGUCCUCCUGCUCAGACUCGUCCUCAUCCAUAUCCUCGCUCUAGCAGAGCACAAGAAAGCACGGGGGCAGUGAGUGAAGGGAGGAAAGACAGGUAUGUUUUUACAGCACUGGCAGCGUUUUUUGGAUCACUGUCAUGCUGAAAAAUGAAGCUGCUGCCAAUCAGAUGCUUUGCAGGUGGAGGCUGAGGUGGCGGUUCAGGUGAGGCGGUCGCUGCAGAGACCUGCUCGGCAACAGCGAUGGCAGCGGCAGCAGCCGCCGCCGCCACAGCUGCGGCGUUGCCCUUGAAGGGGUUGUUAGAGCUAAACUCCC